This 483-nucleotide ribosomal RNA is filed under the name uncultured bacterium. RNAcentral describes it as "partial 16S ribosomal RNA". It matches the Rfam family "Bacterial small subunit ribosomal RNA", at positions 27 to 507 of the family's 1533-position model. The record is from RNAcentral.
GAUUGAACGCUGGCGGCAUGCCUUACACAUGCAAGUCGAACGGUAACGGGCCUUCGGGUGCCGACGAGUGGCGAACGGGUGAGUAAUACAUCGGAACGUGCCCGAUCGUGGGGGAUAACGAGGCGAAAGCUUUGCUAAUACCGCAUACGAUCUACGGAUGAAAGCAGGGGACCGCAAGGCCUUGCGCGGACGGAGCGGCCGAUGGCAGAUUAGGUAGUUGGGGGGAUAAAAGCUUACCAAGCCGACGAUCUGUAGCUGGUCUGAGAGGAUGAUCAGCCACACUGGGACUGAGACACGGCCCAGACUCCUACGGGAGGCAGCAGUGGGGAAUUUUGGACAAUGGGCGCAAGCCUGAUCCAGCCAUGCCGCGUGCAGGAUGAAGGCCUUCGGGUUGUAAACUGCUUUUGUACGGAACGAAAAGCCUUCUUUUAAUACAGGAGGGUCAUGACGGUACCGUAAGAAUAAGCACCGGCUAACUACGUG